GAUGAACGCUGGCGGCGUGCUUAACACAUGCAAGUCGAACGAUGAAGACCGUGCUUGCACGGUUGGAUUAGUGGCGAACGGGUGAGUAUCACGUGAGUAACCUUCCCUUAACUCUGGGAUAAGCCCGGGAAACUGGGUCUAAUACCGGAUACGACCAGUCCUCGCAUGGGGUGCUGGUGGAAAGAUUUAUCGGUUUUGGAUGGACUCGCGGCCUAUCAGCUUGUUGGUGAGGUAAAGGCUCACCAAGGCGAUGACGGGUAGCCGGCCUGAGAGGGUGACCGGCCACACUGGGACUGAGACACGGCCCAGACUCCUACGGGAGGCAGCAGUGGGGAAUAUUGCACAAUGGGCGAAAGCCUGAUGCAGCGACGCCGCGUGCGGGAUGACGGCCUUCGGGUUGUAAACCGCUUUCAGCAGGGAAGAAGCGCAAGUGACGGUACCUGCAGAAGAAGCGCCGGCUAACUACGUGCCAGCAGCCGCGGUAAUACGUAGGGCGCGAGCGUUAUCCGGAAUUAUUGGGCGUAAAGAGCUCGUAGGCGGUUUGUCACGUCUGCUGUGAAAGCCCGGGGCUCAACCCCGGGUGUGCAGUGGGUACGGGCAGACUAGAGUGCAGUAGGGGAGACUGGAAUUCCUGGUGUAGCGGUGAAAUGCGCAGAUAUCAGGAGGAACACCGAUGGCGAAGGCAGGUCUCUGGGCUGUUACUGACGCUGAGGAGCGAAAGCAUGGGGAGCGAACAGGAUUAGAUACCCUGGUAGUCCAUGCCGUAAACGUUGGGCACUAGGUGUGGGGGACAUUCCACGUUUUCCGCGCCGUAGCUAACGCAUUAAGUGCCCCGCCUGGGGAGUACGGCCGCAAGGCUAAAACUCAAAGGAAUUGACGGGGGCCCGCACAAGCGGCGGAGCAUGCGGAUUAAUUCGAUGCAACGCGAAGAACCUUACCAAGGCUUGACAUGGACCGGACCGCUGCAGAGAUGCAGUUUCCCUUCGGGGUCGGUUCACAGGUGGUGCAUGGUUGUCGUCAGCUCGUGUCGUGAGAUGUUGGGUUAAGUCCCGCAACGAGCGCAACCCCUAUCCUAUGUUGCCAGCACGUCAUGGUGGGGACUCAUGGGAGACUGCCGGGGUCAACUCGGAGGAAGGUGGGGACGACGUCAAAUCAUCAUGCCCCUUAUGUCUUGGGCUUCACGCAUGCUACAAUGGCCGGUACAAUGGGUUGCGAUACUGUGAGGUGGAGCUAAUCCCUAAAAGCCGGUCUCAGUUCGGAUCGAAGUCUGCAACUCGACUUCGUGAAGUUGGAGUCGCUAGUAAUCGCAGAUCAGCAACGCUGCGGUGAAUACGUUCCCGGGCCUUGUACACACCGCCCGUCAAGUCACGAAAGUGGGUAACACCCGAAGCCGGUGGCCUAACCCUUGUGGGGGGAGCCGUCGAAGGUGGGACUCGCGAUUGGGACU
This 1447-nucleotide ribosomal RNA is filed under the name Nesterenkonia sp. Act20. RNAcentral describes it as "bacterial SSU rRNA". It matches the Rfam family "Bacterial small subunit ribosomal RNA". The record is from RNAcentral. Lineage: Bacteria; Bacillati; Actinomycetota; Actinomycetes; Micrococcales; Micrococcaceae.